UUACGGUCACAUUACCAUAAAAACACCGGUUCUUAUACGAUCACCGAAGCUAAGCAACGUCAAGCCUGGUUAGUACUUAGAUGGGUAACCGCUUUGGAAUUUCAGGUGUUGUAAG
This is a non-coding RNA of Acanthosepion pharaonis, 115 nucleotides long. The record is from the annotation of a GenBank genome assembly. NCBI's taxonomy places the organism in Eukaryota, Metazoa, Mollusca, Cephalopoda, Sepiida, Sepiidae.